UACGUAGGGGGCAAGCGUUGUCCGGAAUCAUUGGGCGUAAAGAGCGUGUAGGCGGUUCGGUAAGUCGGCUGUGAAAGUCCAGGGCUCAACCCUGGGAUGCCGGUCGAUACUGCCGGACUAGAGUUCGGAAGAGGCGAGUGGAAUUCCCGGUGUAGCGGUGAAAUGCGCAGAUAUCGGGGAGGAACACCUAUGGCGAAGGCAGCUCGCUGGGACGUUUACUGACGCU
RNAcentral lists this ribosomal RNA (226 nucleotides) under uncultured bacterium. RNAcentral describes it as "partial 16S ribosomal RNA". It matches the Rfam family "Bacterial small subunit ribosomal RNA", at positions 524 to 747 of the family's 1533-position model. The record is from RNAcentral.